CCACAACUGCUGAGCCCGAGUGCUUUAGAGACCGUGCUCCACAAAGAGACAAGUCACUGCACUGAGAAGCCCCUGCACUGCAACUGGAGAGUAGCUCCCGCUUGCUGAAACUAGAGGAAGCCCAUGCUCAGCAACAAAGACCCAGGCAGCCAAAACCUGCCAGGCUCCUCUGUCCAUGGGGAUUCUCCAGGCAAGAAAACUGGAGUGGGUCGCCGUGCCCUCUUUCAAGGGGAUCUUCCCUACCCAGGGAUCAAACCCAUAUCUCCUGUGACUCCUGCGUUGCAGGCGAAUUCUUUAUCCCUGAGCCACUGGGGAAGCCCCACAUACAACCUACAGCAGGUAUGAUAAUCUCUAGGUCCAUCCACGUUGCUGCGAAUGGCAUCGUUUCCUUAGCAGCUCAACCCUUCUUAAAGCAGCAUGGCUGCUUGAGGCUUGGCCUGCAGAAAAGACUCAGGACCCUUGGGCUGGCCCUUGCUGCAGAAACAUGAAGCAGCUGCUUCCUCAGGCCUCCAAGGACUCGCACGGUGAUGCAGGAAGGUCUCCGAGUGUCAACAAUGCUGUCUUGUUAAAAGACAAAGAAUAGAUGAGGCUUUUGUUUUCCUUGGAACUGGACUGACUGACUUCCAGCAGCGUCCUACAAAAGAGGAUGUCCUAUGGGAAGGGGUCGAGGUGGGAUUGGAGAGUCAAAAGUUCAAGGGUUAUAUGGCCAUUCUGCCACCAAUUCAUCGUGACUCACAGUUUCCUGGGUUAUGUAUUAUUUUUCUACUUAUACACCUAUGGAUUUGUAAAUAAAAGCAAGCCCCUUAGUUAGGGAAAGAAUAUAGAAUACGUGUUUCUAUUCUAAAUGAGAGAAAUACCUGUAUUCACUCCAAUUUCUUUUUUCAUGGAGAGAUAUACACAGAAAUAAAAU
This is a long non-coding RNA of Bos taurus (domestic cattle), 910 nucleotides long. NCBI's taxonomy places the organism in Eukaryota, Metazoa, Chordata, Mammalia, Artiodactyla, Bovidae. The record is from Ensembl.